UAGGUAGGUGGUCUCAUUUGUCUGGGGUGAAAGCCUUGAGCUUAACUCAAGAAGUGCCCCAGAAACGGUGAGACUGGAGUCCUGGAGAGGGUCGUGGAAUUCCCGGUGUAGCGGUGAAAUGCGCAGAGAUCGGGAGGAACACCAGAGGCGAAAGCGGCGACCUGGACAGGUACUGACACUCAACUACGAAAGCGUGGGGAGAAACA
Molecule: ribosomal RNA, 206 nt
Filed under: uncultured bacterium
Lineage: Bacteria
Description: partial 16S ribosomal RNA
Rfam family: Bacterial small subunit ribosomal RNA
Source: RNAcentral